RNAcentral lists this ribosomal RNA (638 nucleotides) under Salmonella enterica. Its description in RNAcentral is "partial 23S ribosomal RNA". It matches the Rfam family "Bacterial large subunit ribosomal RNA", at positions 333 to 973 of the family's 2925-position model. The record is from RNAcentral. Lineage: Bacteria; Pseudomonadati; Pseudomonadota; Gammaproteobacteria; Enterobacterales; Enterobacteriaceae.
UGGAAGCGUCUGGAAAGGCGCGCGAUACAGGGUGACAGCCCCGUACACAAAAGCGCAUGUGCUGUGAGCUCGAUGAGUAGGGCGGGACACGUGGUAUCCUGUCUGAAUAUGGGGGGACCAUCCUCCAAGGCUAAAUACUCCUGACUGACCGAUAGUGAACCAGUACCGUGAGGGAAAGGCGAAAAGAACCCCGGCGAGGGGAGUGAAAAAGAACCUGAAACCGUGUACGUACAAGCAGUGGGAGCACAGGUUUACCUGUGUGACUGCGUACCUUUUGUAUAAUGGGUCAGCGACUUAUAUUCUGUAGCAAGGUUAACCGUAUAGGGGAGCCGGAGGGAAACCGAGUCUUAACCGGGCGUUAAGUUGCAGGGUAUAGACCCGAAACCCGGUGAUCUAGCCAUGGGCAGGUUGAAGGUUGGGUAACACUAACUGGAGGACCGAACCGACUAAUGUUGAAAAAUUAGCGGAUGACCUGUGGCUGGGGGUGAAAGGCCAAUCAAACCGGGAGAUAGCUGGUUCUCCCCGAAAGCUAUUUAGGUAGCGCCUCGUGAAUUCAUCUCCGGGGGUAGAGCACUGUUUCGGCUAGGGGGCCAUCCCGGCUUACCAACCCGAUGCAAACUGCGAAUACCGGAGAAUGU